This 434-nucleotide unclassified non-coding RNA is filed under the name soil metagenome. RNAcentral describes it as "partial contains 5.8S ribosomal RNA, internal transcribed spacer 2, and large subunit ribosomal RNA". The stretch from base 1 to 120 matches the Rfam family "5.8S ribosomal RNA", at positions 35 to 154 of the family's 154-position model. The record is from RNAcentral.
GAUGAAGAACGUAGCGAAAUGCGAUACGUAAUGUGAAUUGCAGAAUUCAGUGAAUCAUCGAAUCUUUGAACGCAUAUUUCGCUCUUUGGUAUUCCGAAGAGCAUGCUUGUUUGAGUAUCAGUAAACACCUCAAAGCUUUUGGAUUUUUUAAUCGAAAGGCUUUGGACUUGAGCAAUCCCAACACCAAUCUUUUUGAGAUCGGUGGCGGGUUGCUUGAAAUGCAGGUGCAGCUGGACAUUCUCCUGAGCUAAAAGCAUAUUCAUUUAGUCCCGUCAAACGGAUUAUUACUUUUGCUGCAGCUAACAUAAAGGGAGUUUGACCGUAUUGGCUGACUGAUGCAGGAUUUCACAAGGGUCGGCAACGAUUCUUGUUAAACUCGAUCUCAAAUCAAGUAAGACUACCCGCUGAACUUAAGCAUAUCAAUAAGCGGAGGA